ACGCUGUUCGGCGUGCCUAACACAUGCAAGUCGAACGAGAAAACGGGGGCAACUCCGUGAGUACUCCGCCGAACGGGUGAGUAACACGUGACUAACCUGCCUUCGAGCGGGGGAUAACCCCGGGAAACCGGGGCUAACACCGCAUAACAUCGCGAGGUGAAACUCCUUGUGAUCAAAUGCGCAAGCAGCUUGAAGAGGGGGUCGCGGCUGAUUAGCUAGUUGGUGAGGUAACGGCUCACCAAGGCGAUGAUCAGUAGCCGGCCUGAGAGGGCGCACGGCCACACUGGAACUGAAACACGGUCCAGACUCCUACGGGAGGCAGCAGUGGG
RNAcentral lists this ribosomal RNA (329 nucleotides) under uncultured Acidobacteriota bacterium. Its description in RNAcentral is "bacterial SSU rRNA". It matches the Rfam family "Bacterial small subunit ribosomal RNA", at positions 40 to 358 of the family's 1533-position model. The record is from RNAcentral. Lineage: Bacteria; Pseudomonadati; Acidobacteriota.